CAGCAUGGUCAUCAUCAUCAUCAGCAUUACUAUAAAAACAAAUUGACCAACAAGUACAAUUUUAUUAUAUCCUUAUAAUUUAUCAUAUAUAAGUGUGACCCAGGUUAUGAUAAUUAAAAAUAUGAUACAGGUCCAUUAUAAUGGUAUGACCAUUAUGCUUAAUAUAUGAUCUACCGGUGCUCCCAUACCCCCGCCCUCUCCCGCAGUGGUGGUGGGACAAUGUUGGCCAUGUCUCUGAUCAACCCAUAUAUCACACGCGUGUGAUGGACACGUGUGUGUGUGUGAGUGAACACGUGGACAGUGCACACACACGUGUUGGGUCAACUUAACCAAACAAACAAACAAAUAGAUUUUAACAAUCGUUUUUGGCCUAUUGAAGCUAUGAUAAUUUUUUUUGAGGUAAAUAAUAUUUGACUACUACCCGGAGGAGGAACAGGAGGUGCCCUAUUAAUAAUGGAUACUAUGGAUAAUUUUUUGUUGAGGUAAAUAAUACUCUACAAGACCCCCCUCUGGAAUAGGAGGUGUGCCCUAUUAUAUAUGGAUGCUAUGAUAAUGUUUUGUUGUUUAGGUUUUAACAAAACAAACAAUCGUAUUUUGGCCUAUUAUAUGGAUGAUAUGAUAAAUUUUUUGAGGAAAAUAAUUGACGAUCCGGGACUAGGAGGUGCCCCACCCCUCCCAUUAGCACAGAUUUUUAAUCCACUGCUUUAUAUAUAUAGACAAUAAUA
Oppia nitens is the source of this 725-nucleotide long non-coding RNA. RefSeq lists it as uncharacterized. NCBI's taxonomy places the organism in Eukaryota, Metazoa, Arthropoda, Arachnida, Sarcoptiformes, Oppiidae. The record is from RefSeq and is a predicted model, not a curated record. The transcript has 6 exons.